UCUGGCGACCGGCGCACGGGUGAGUAACACGUAUCCAACCUGCCCUUUACUCAGGGAUAGCCUUUCGAAAGAAAGAUUAAUACCCGAUAGCAUAAUGAUUCCGCAUGGUUUCAUUAUUAAAGGAUUCCGGUAAAGGAUGGGGAUGCGUUCCAUUAGGUUGUUGGUGAGGUAACGGCUCACCAAGCCUUCGAUGGAUAGGGGUUCUGAGAGGAAGGUCCCCCACAUUGGAACUGAGACACGGUCCAA
RNAcentral lists this ribosomal RNA (246 nucleotides) under uncultured bacterium. RNAcentral describes it as "partial 16S ribosomal RNA". It matches the Rfam family "Bacterial small subunit ribosomal RNA", at positions 87 to 334 of the family's 1533-position model. The record is from RNAcentral.